GGACAGGGAGUGACGACACACAGAGCAACUCCAGCACGAAAACAAAACCCUGCAUUAAAAAACAACUGUGAACAGCGACGGUGUGCAUUGCUCUUCACGGAACUCUCUGUUCUUCAUAAUUUUAAUAUGACAGCCAGACCUAUACCGUGGGUGAAUGAAGUGGUCGAGACUUUUCUGUCUAUGGUGGCGGACCAAAGAAUACAGAGGGAGCUAGACGGAGAAAGUUUAUCAGGAGGUCUCUGAGUGGAUGGCCGCUCACAUAUACAGUAGACUAUAUAAAGAGGACAAUGAAGCAGCGUAGGGAGAAGCUGAAAAAGCUCAAAAGUGACUAUCGGUCUACCAAGGACCACAACGGCCGGCGUGGGCCAACCAGAAGGUGUUGGAAGAGGUUUAAUGACCGCUAUUUACUGGCACCGCCAGCAGCAGGAGGGAGACACAGCCGCUGCAUUGUUGGAGACGUUCGAGGACGAAUCCCUUUCCACAUGCGAAGCCUACUCCACCUCCGUCAUGGAGCUCCCAGCUCCCCUGCCUCCUCUCCACCACCAGCAGCGGCUCCUCUCCAGCACCAGCUUCGACACCAGUACCAGCUCGGACACCGACCCUGUCAACAUCAGCCUCCAGCACGUCACAGCAACGUCUUAUCACUGGCAAGAGGAAAAGGGGCCACAGAAUAUUGGACCUUCCAAGCGUACUUGUGGAGAUGCAGGCUGAGGAGGAGCAGAGUCAUGCCCAGCAUGAUGAGAACAUCCAGUUGCUCCUCAGCGAGGCAAGAGAGAAUGAAGCGGCCUUGCAGCGGGAGGAGAUGGCCCAGAAUACUGCCUUCAACCAGUCAUUCCUGGGUGUGCUGGGGCAGCUGGGGUAGCUGGGGCAGGCAGUGGGCAGCCGGCGAGUGUGAGCGAUUCCACCUCCCAUAGACUUGAGAUUUACAAGUGCUGGUCAUAUAAUUAGAAUAUCAUGAAAAAGCUCGUCUUUUGGACAACUGUCAGUCUUCCCCAUGAUUGUGUAGCCUACAGAACUAGACUGAAAGACCAUUUAAAGGCCUUUGCAGAUGUUUUGAGUUAAUUAGCUGAUUAGAGAUGUCUUCAAUAUUGAACCUUUCCACAAUUUUCUAAUUUUCUGAGAUACCAAAUUAGGGAUUUUCGUUAGUAUUCAGGUAUAAUCAAAGUUAAGAGAAAUAAACAUCUGAAAUAUAUCAAUC
Molecule: long non-coding RNA, 1198 nt
Organism: Amphiprion ocellaris (clown anemonefish)
Lineage: Eukaryota; Metazoa; Chordata; Actinopteri; Pomacentridae
Source: Ensembl